GCCCAGACUCCUACGGGAGGCAGCAGUGGGGAAUAUUGCACAAUGGGGGAAACCCUGAUGCAGCGACGCCGCGUGAGCGAUGAAGUCUUUCGGUAUGUAAAGCUCUCUCAGCAGGGAAGAAAAUGACGGUACCUGAAGAAGAAGCCCCGGCUAACUACGUGCCAGCAGCCGCGGUAAUACGUAGGGGGCAAGCGUUAUCCGGAUUUACUGGGUGUAAAGGGGGCGCAGACGGCGAUGCAAGCCAGGAGUGAAAGCCCGGGGCCCAACCCCGGGACUGCUCUUGGAACUGCGUGGCUAGAGUGCAGGAGGGGCAGGCGGAAUUCCUGGUGUAGCGGUGAAAUGCGUAGAUAUCAGGAGGAACACCGGUGGCGAAGGCGGCCUGCUGGACUGCAACUGACGUUGAGGCCCGAAAGCGUGGGGAGCAAACAGGAUUAGAUACCCCCGUA
This 446-nucleotide ribosomal RNA is filed under the name uncultured bacterium. Its description in RNAcentral is "partial 16S ribosomal RNA". It matches the Rfam family "Bacterial small subunit ribosomal RNA", at positions 329 to 792 of the family's 1533-position model. The record is from RNAcentral.